GACGAACGCUGGCGGCGUGCUUAACACAUGCAAGUCGAACGGACUACUUUGCUUCGGUAAGGUGGUUAGUGGCGAACGGGUGAGUAACGCGUAGACAACCUACCUCUUAGAUGGGGACAACAUCGCGAAAGCGGUGCUAAUACCGAAUGAAGUGACUUUCCUGCAUGGGAGAGAUACUAAAGGUGGCCUCUAUUUAUAAGCUACCACUGAGAGAUGGGUCUGCGUCUGAUUAGCUAGUUGGCGGGGUAACGGCCCACCAAGGCGACGAUCAGUAGCCGGUCUGAGAGGAUGAACGGCCACAUUGGGACUGAGACGCGGCCCAAACUCCUACGGGAGGCAGCAGUGGGGAAUUUUCCGCAAUGGACGAAAGUCUGACGGAGCAACGCCGCGUGAGUGAAGAAGGUUUUCGGAUCGUAAAGCUCUGUUGUUUGAGACGAAUGUGCCUGUUUCGAAUAGGGAUAGGUAAUGACGGUAUUAAACGAGAAAGCCACGGCUAACUACGUGCCAGCAGCAGCCGCCG
Molecule: ribosomal RNA, 520 nt
Filed under: uncultured bacterium
Lineage: Bacteria
Description: partial 16S ribosomal RNA
Rfam family: Bacterial small subunit ribosomal RNA
Source: RNAcentral